CAAUGGUCUUUUGUGGCAACUUGGAUGGAGCUGGAAGCCAUUUUUCUAAGUGAAGUGACUCAGGAAUGGAAAACCAAAUGUUGUAUGUUCUCACUUAUAAAUGGGAGGUAAGCUAUGAGCACGCAAAGGGAUAAGAAUGAUAUAAUGGAUUUUGGGGGCUCAAAGGGGAAGAUUGGGAGGGUGGUAAGGGAUAGAAGACUACAUAUUGGGUACAGUGUACACUGCAAGGGGGAUGGGUCCAAGAAAAUCUCAGAAUUCACCACUAUAGAACUUUAAUCAAAAACCACCAGUAGCCCAGAAACUAUUGAAAUUAAAUAUAUGAGAAAAAAUCCAGAGGCAUAGAGAAGAAAGAUCAGUGAUAAGAAAGCCUCCAAGAGCGGGGUUUAUAAGAACAUCAAGGAGCUUGGAGUUGUGGAGGUGGGGCUUGCAGUUAUUGGGGUAGCUGUGGCAUGUGAGUAAAAUGGAGUGAAGAAGAUGGGAAUGAGGAUUUUAGAGGAGUUUUGCUUUAUAUUACAAAUCAGCUUUUCCUUUGAUGCCUUAAAAAGAUAUUGAAGUAGGUUAAAUUUUUUUUAAUGAUUUUGGAUGCUGAACUGCUGUGUCUUUGUGAAUGGCACCCAUCGUAGAGCUGGGACCACAGAUGAUUGUUUUACACAUUCCACAGAUAGACCUAUGAGCACACUCUUGUGAGAAGAGGGACUGCCUUUCUAGGCAUAUUUUGCUCCAUGCCGCCACCUUACUCAAGAAUUCUCUCAAGCUUUGUUACUUUCAAUAAGUUUAUAAUGCUUUUUCUUGAUCAAAAUUACCUCUCUUUUGACCAGUUCUCUUGAGAAUGUGUUUUCUACUGCCUACUUGCUGAAUUCAUGUAUACUGAUGGUUCUAAUCAAGGUGACACAUUUUCUGCCAUAUUUGAGUUUCUAGAAAAUAUGACUCUACUCGAAGGAGGAAAUUGUGGAAAUUCUAGGCAUUAUGACACGUCAAUGACACUUUUUUCUAUCGAAAUACUUCAAAUAAAAAUAUACGUUGUAUAUUUGCUUCCACAGGUUUUUUCUAUUCUGUCUUCAAAGAAAUUUGUUCCCUUCUUUAUUCAGUAAUUAGAGAAGCUAUUAAGUUAAAGUCAGAUUAAGAACAGAAUCAAGCACGUGGCCAAAGUGUUUGCUAAAUAUGGAAUUUUGCUGAGCACUGGGGUUACAUGGAAUGCAAAAAGACAAGGUUCCUAACCUCAAAAAAAUUGUAGUCAAAUGGAAAUGACAAGUAAUAAAAACAUAACCACACAUAUAAAUGUAUAUUCAUGUCCUAUGCUAAGUGCUACGUAGAAAAGAGAUAGGGUGCUAUGAGAACAUAUAACAAAGGACAUUUCCUAGGAUGGGAUCAAGGAAAACUUUCCAGAAGAGGUGACAAUAAAAGCAAAAUAUUAUUUGUAGGCAUUAACUAAGCAAAGAGGAUGGGGAAAUAGUAGUCAACCACACGUAACACCAUGUUCAAAGGUCCUGAGGCAGGUCAGAGCAUGAAACAUUUGUUUAAGAAGCAGAAGGUAAUCUAGGCACGGUGGCUCAUCCCUGUGAUCUUAGCACUUUGGGAGGCUAAGGCAGGAGGAUUGCUUGUGUCUAGGAGUUUGAGGCCAUCCUGGCAUCAUAGUGAGACUCUGUUUCUACAACAAAUCAAAAAUUUACCAGACGUGGUGGUGUGAAACUGCACUCCCAGCUACUCAGGAGGCUGAGGUGGGAGGAUAGCUUGAACCCGGGAGAUUGUGGCUACAGUGACCUGUAAUUGCACCACUCCAUUCAGCCUGGGUGACAGUCUCACAAAAAAAAAAAAAAAAAAAAGAAAGGAAGGAAGUCAUCAUAGCUAGAAGACUUGGAAGGAGGUAGAGAGGAUGCAAUUUGAGCUUGAAGAGGCAGAGCAGGCAAAAUCAGGUUGGGUUGGUGGGCUGUAUUAAAUUUUUUUUUCAUAGAGUUAUGGAAAGCCAUAGAGGUGUUUUAAGCAGGGAAGUAGCAUGAUGAAAUUUGCCUUAAGAACUUCAAAUGGAGAGGAAUGAAUGCUGGAAGAUGAGUUGUAGAAUAUCGCCAUGAUCCAGAUAAAGUACAAUGGCAGUUUGAUCUAGUUUUGUAAUGUGACUGACACAAUGAAGGGCAGGCUUGACAGAUAUGUAGGAGACAAAAAUUUAUAAGACUGAAUAGUGAUUGCACAUGGAAGUAAAGGAGAAGAAAAAGUCAAGGAUAACCCUCAGGUUUUUGUUUUGUUUUUGUUUUGGCUUCUGUGGCUGAACAAAGAGUGAGGCCAUUGAUCAAAGUGGAAAACAAUGGGAAAGCCUAGACUGGGGUGGAAAUGGGAGUAAUGAUAGGGCAAGAGCAUAAAGAGAUCUAUUUGUUCGUGCUAGAGUUUGAAUUGCUUUUGAAAUACCCAAGUUGAGAUGAUAGCAUCUCUAAAGUGAACCUAAUGAUAACUGUCUGACAGGGUGGCUCUGUGGAUUACAGGAGAGAGUGUCUGUAAAAUACAGUUCCUGUCACAUAAAAGGCCCUCAGCAAAGAUGACAUAAAGAUGAUCCAUGAAGAACGUGGAUGGAGAAAUAAUAUUAGAAAACUCCAAAUGAAAAUAAUAUUUCAGUGAAUGUUCAAUUGAUGUUCCCUUACUUUUCUACAUCAAAUAUUUCUACACAAAGGGAUAUUAGGUGUAUCUCCUUUUUAAAGACUGAGACCAGCACUUUGGGAGGCCAAGGUGGGUGGAU
This 2725-nucleotide long non-coding RNA is filed under the name Homo sapiens (human). RNAcentral describes it as "HSALNT0047731". Lineage: Eukaryota; Metazoa; Chordata; Mammalia; Primates; Hominidae. The record is from RNAcentral.